This 254-nucleotide ribosomal RNA is filed under the name uncultured bacterium. RNAcentral's name for it is "partial 16S ribosomal RNA". It matches the Rfam family "Bacterial small subunit ribosomal RNA", at positions 524 to 776 of the family's 1533-position model. The record is from RNAcentral.
UACGUAGGGGCCUAGCGUUGUCCGGAUUUAUUGGGCGUAAAGAGCUCGUAGGCGGUUCGGUAAGUCAGGUGUGAAAUCUCCACGCUCAACGUGGAGGCGCCACCUGAAACUGCCGUGACUCGAGUCCGGUAGGGGAGUGUGGAAUUCCCGGUGUAGCGGUGAAAUGCGCAGAUAUCGGGAGGAACACCGGUGGCGAAGGCGGGUCUCUGGGCAUUUCCUGACGCUGAGGCGCGAAAGCGUGGGGAGCAAACGGG